RNAcentral lists this ribosomal RNA (405 nucleotides) under uncultured bacterium. RNAcentral's name for it is "partial 16S ribosomal RNA". It matches the Rfam family "Bacterial small subunit ribosomal RNA", at positions 30 to 526 of the family's 1533-position model. The record is from RNAcentral.
AUUGAACUCUGGCGGCAGGCUUAACACAUGCAAGUCGAACGAGUGGCGGACGGGUGAGUAAUGCUUGGGAAUCUAGCUUAUGGAGGGGGAUAACUACGGGAAACGGUAGCUAAUACCGCGUACCAUAGGAUGAGCCCAUAUGGGAUUAGGUAGUUGGUGAGGUAAAGGCUCACCAAGCCGACGAUCCGUAGCUGGUCUGAGAGGAUGACCAGCCACACUGGGACUGAGAAACGGCCCAGACUCCUACGGGAGGCAGCAGUGGGGAAUAUUGGGCAAUGGGGGAAACCUGAUGCAGCCAUGCCGCGUGAAUGAAGAAGGCCUUCGGGUUGUAAAGUUCUUUCGGUAGCGAGGCGUUAACUACAGAAGAAGCACCGGCUAACUCCGUGCCAGCAGCCGCGGUAAUUC